This 297-nucleotide ribosomal RNA is filed under the name uncultured microorganism. Its description in RNAcentral is "partial 16S ribosomal RNA". It matches the Rfam family "Bacterial small subunit ribosomal RNA", at positions 505 to 796 of the family's 1533-position model. The record is from RNAcentral.
GUGCCAGCAGCCGCGGUAGUAGGGAGCGGUGUCCGCGAUUAUAUCUGGAAUUACUGGGCGUAAAGCGCACGCAGGCGGUCUGUCAAGUCGGAUGUGAAAUCCCCCGGGCUCAACCUGGGAACUGCAUUCGAAACUGGCAGGCUAGAGUCUUGUAGGGGGGGGUAGAAUUCCAGGUGUAGCGGUGAAAUGCGUAGAGAUCUGGAGGAAUACCGGUGGCGAAGGCGGCCCCCUGGACAAAGACUGACGCUCAGGUGCGAAAGCGUGGGGAGCAAACAGGAUUAGAUACCCUGGUAGUCC